AGAACGAACGCUGGCGGCAGGCCUCAAACAUGCAAGUCUAGGGGGUGCAGCAAUGCAUCACCGGCGGACGGGUGCGUAACACGUGGGAAUAUACCUUUCGGUACGGAACAACGCAGGGAAACUUGCGCUAAUACCGUAUACGUCCUUACGGAGAAAGAUUUAUCGCCGAAGGAUUAGCCCGCGUAGGAUUAGCUAGUUGGUGAGGUAAUGGCUCACCAAGGCUCCGAUCCUUAGCUGUUCUGAGAGGAAGAUCAGCCACACUGGGACUGAGACACGGCCCAGACUCCUACGGGAGGCAGCAGUUGGAAUCUUGGACAAUGGGGAACCCUGAUCCAGCCAUGCCGCGUGAGUGAUGAAGGCCUUCGGGUUGUAAAACUCUUUCGACGGGACGAUAAUGACGGUACCGUAGAAGAAGCUCCGGCUAACUUCGCGCCAGCAGCCGC
Molecule: ribosomal RNA, 443 nt
Filed under: uncultured bacterium
Lineage: Bacteria
Description: SSU rRNA
Rfam family: Bacterial small subunit ribosomal RNA
Source: RNAcentral